GAUGAUGUUGAUGGUGUAGUUAGCACGCCAGUUUGAACCGCAAGCGCACGGAUCAGUUAUAAAUUUUCCCUUAGAAUAUUCCUCCAAGGUUUAUCAAUCCGUUGAAACAAGGUCAUAGGAUCUAGACUAACUAAGCAUGAGGAAACAUGAUUUAUCUUGCAAAGUGAUUGUGAAUAGACAUGAGUAGAUACGAAGUAUAAGUAGAUAUGAACAAGAGGUAACUCAUCUAGAGCAAAACCUAGACUAUGCUUAUGUUGUAGUUCUAGCUAGAUGGCAAGCAAACACAUGGUUCUCAUACAAAGCAUCUUUAAACCACUACCUCCGGUCUAACUCAAAACCCCCACCUUACACAGCAUCA
Molecule: long non-coding RNA, 358 nt
Filed under: Setaria viridis
Lineage: Eukaryota; Viridiplantae; Streptophyta; Magnoliopsida; Poales; Poaceae
Description: long non-coding RNA (SVIR_LNC010895)
Source: RNAcentral